This 441-nucleotide ribosomal RNA is filed under the name uncultured bacterium. RNAcentral describes it as "bacterial SSU rRNA". It matches the Rfam family "Bacterial small subunit ribosomal RNA", at positions 335 to 766 of the family's 1533-position model. The record is from RNAcentral.
ACUCCUACGGGAGGCAGCAGUAGGGAAUCUUCCACAAUGGACGAAAGUACUGAUGGAGCAACGCCGCGUGAGUGAAGAAGGGUUUCGGCUCGUAAAACUCUGUUGUUAAAGAAAGAACAUAUCUGAGAGUAACUGUUCAGGUAUUGACGGUAUUUAACCAGAAAGCCACGGCUAACUACGUGCCAGCAGCCGCGGUAAUACGUAGGUGGCAAGCGUUGUCCGGAUUUAUUGGGCGUAAAGCGAGCGCAGGCGGUCUUUUAAGUCUGAUGUGAAAGCCUUCGGCUCAACCGAAGAAGUGCAUCGGAAACUGGGAAACUUGAGUGCAGAAGAGGACAGUGGAACUCCAUGUGUAGCGGUGAAAUGCGUAGAUAUAUGGAAGAACACCAGUGGCGAAGGCGGCUGUCUGGUCUGUAACUGACGCUGAGGCUCGAAAGUAUGGGG